AAUAAGUGUAAUUUUACACUAUUCACGUUCAACGUUUGAUCGUUCGUCUUAUUUAAUUUUUUUUAUGAUUAGUAUUUUUAUUGCUAUUAGAUAAUAAAACGUGAAUAAUACUUUACAUAUGGCUAAAUAUUUUUAAAUUUUUCACAAAUUUUUUCAAAUAAAACGGACGGUUAAACAUUGGACACGAAUAUUCACGGCUGCACUUAUU
Oryza glaberrima (African rice) is the source of this 208-nucleotide non-coding RNA. The record is from Rfam. NCBI's taxonomy places the organism in Eukaryota, Viridiplantae, Streptophyta, Magnoliopsida, Poales, Poaceae.